This is a long non-coding RNA of Daucus carota subsp. sativus, 1077 nucleotides long. RefSeq lists it as uncharacterized. The transcript is spliced from 2 exons. The record is from RefSeq and is a predicted model, not a curated record. NCBI's taxonomy places the organism in Eukaryota, Viridiplantae, Streptophyta, Magnoliopsida, Apiales, Apiaceae.
ACAAGAACGUGAAGGUACUUGCUAGGCACAUGAAUAAUAAUUUUGAUCUGCUGGAUAAGAAGGGACCUGUUAAAAACACACAGAUUCCUGUCCGUUGGAUAAAUAUCCAGACCCCUGGAUAUUCAUCCAACUGCGAGGAACCUGUAUGUUUUUUAACGGUCCCCAGCAUACAUAUAUUAGGACCUGGACCUGGACCCGGAUAAGAAAACAGGAUGAAGUAGAUUCAAUACAAAGAGGAUCAGAUUCAAACAUAAAAAUCAUUGCAAGAGCAGAUUCAAAGCAACAUUAGCAGGCCGAUCUUCUUCGAUUCGAAACGGAGGACGAAUGAGCCGUGUUGAUCACCACAUGACCCGUGCCGCGAGUCACAGCCUGGCGACGAAGUGCACAAUUGAGGUCCAGAUCAAACUUGCAGGUGGAGCAGUGAAAAUGGAAGGCACUUCCCUGGUCACCGCAAGCAUCACAAACGAACUCACCGAUUUCAUAGGGAGAUUGCGUAACCAGGGUCAGAUGGUGGGCCGGGUGAGAUGGAUGUUUGAUGGUUCUUGACAAGCUGUAGCAAGAUUGGUGAAGAUAGAAGCUGCAUUCUGAGUUGGUGCAGCUCACAACAUAGCCUGAAAUGUACUGCUCACAGCCUGAGCAAACUAUUUCAUCUCCUUCGUCUACUUCCGCGAGAUGCAGAACGUGGGGAUGGCUAAAAUGCUUCAUCUCUCCGAACCUUCUCUCCCUGUUAAGUGUUGUCUAUGAAGUUUGUUAGCUUUUUAUAAAAAAGGAAUAAGGGCAAGGCAAUUCGGAACUCGGGAGCCUUGUGUACUGAGCAAAUUGAUUAUUAUUGUUUCAGCAACUUGUUUGGUGCGACAGAUUUUGGUGCCACACGACUUAACUUCUAUCUUGGCUGGCUUUCCUAUAUUCACUCCCAAGCUUCUGCUCAUCAUUGCCAGACUUAUGAUCGCAACCAGCCAACCCCAUCUCCGUUGAUUUAUCUGUAGUUGAGUUCUUCGUCUUUCCUUUGUCUUUGUAAUAAAUAGCAUACAGUAUCAGCUGCGCUAUUCCUAGGAGGCCUCCAACGCCAUUUGGAAC